RNAcentral lists this ribosomal RNA (706 nucleotides) under uncultured Staphylococcus sp. RNAcentral describes it as "bacterial SSU rRNA". It matches the Rfam family "Bacterial small subunit ribosomal RNA", at positions 78 to 769 of the family's 1533-position model. The record is from RNAcentral. Lineage: Bacteria; Bacillati; Bacillota; Bacilli; Caryophanales; Staphylococcaceae.
GCUUGCUUCUCUGAUGUUAGCGGCGGACGGGUGAGUAACACGUGGAUAACCCUACCUAUAAGACUGGGAUAACUUCGGGAAACCGGAGCUAAUACCGGAUGAUAUUUUGAACCGCAUGGUUCAAAGUGAAAGACGGUCUUGCUGUCACUUAUAGAUGGAUCCGCGCUGCAUUAGCUAGUUGGUAAGGUAACGGCUUACCAAGGCAACGAUGCAUAGCCGACCUGAGAGGGUGAUCGGCCACACUGGAACUGAGACACGGUCCAGACUCCUACGGGAGGCAGCAGUAGGGAAUCUUCCGCAAUGGGCGAAAGCCUGACGGAGCAACGCCGCGUGAGUGAUGAAGGUCUUCGGAUCGUAAAACUCUGUUAUUAGGGAAGAACAUAUGUGUAAGUAACUGUGCACAUCUUGACGGUACCUAAUCAGAAAGCCACGGCUAACUACGUGCCAGCAGCCGCGGUAAUACGUAGGUGGCAAGCGUUAUCCGGAAUUAUUGGGCGUAAAGCGCGCGUAGGCGGUUUUUUAAGUCUGAUGUGAAAGCCCACGGCUCAACCGUGGAGGGUCAUUGGAAACUGGAAAACUUGAGUGCAGAAGAGGAAAGUGGAAUUCCAUGUGUAGCGGUGAAAUGCGCAGAGAUAUGGAGGAACACCAGUGGCGAAGGCGACUUUCUGGUCUGUAACUGACGCUGAUGUGCGAAAGCGUGGGGAUC